GGAUUUGUCAGUUGGUCGGGCUUAACUGUCCGUAUUGACUUGAUGGAUUCUUACCUUCUGAAUAACCAGCAUGCUAUUAAGUUAGUGCGUUGGGGAAGCAGAUCUAUUACCUUGAAAAAAUUAGAGUGUUUAAAGCAAGCUAACGCUUGAAUACAUUAGCAUGGAACAAUAAAAUAGGACGGCAUGGUUCUAUUUUGUUGGUUUCUAGGAUCAUCGUA
RNAcentral lists this ribosomal RNA (218 nucleotides) under Campeiostachys nutans. RNAcentral describes it as "Elymus nutans partial small subunit ribosomal RNA". The stretch from base 33 to 218 matches the Rfam family "Eukaryotic small subunit ribosomal RNA", at positions 678 to 864 of the family's 1831-position model. Lineage: Eukaryota; Viridiplantae; Streptophyta; Magnoliopsida; Poales; Poaceae. The record is from RNAcentral.